RNAcentral lists this ribosomal RNA (512 nucleotides) under uncultured bacterium. RNAcentral's name for it is "partial 16S ribosomal RNA". It matches the Rfam family "Bacterial small subunit ribosomal RNA", at positions 28 to 507 of the family's 1533-position model. The record is from RNAcentral.
GAUGAACGCUGGCGGCGUGCCUAAUACAUGCAAGUCGAACGAAACUUCUUUAUCACCGAGUGCUUGCACUCACCGAUAAAGAGUUGAGUGGCGAACGGGUGAGUAACACGUGGGCAACCUGCCCAAAAGAGGGGGAUAACACUUGGAAACAGGUGCUAAUACCGCAUAACCAUAGUUACCGCAUGGUAACUCUGUAAAAGGUGGCUAUACUACCGCUUUUGGAUGGACCCGCGGCGCAUUAGCUAGUUGGUAGGGUAAAGGCUUACCAAGGCAAUGAUGCGUAGCCGAAUUGAGAGGUUGAUCGGCCACAUUGGGACUGAGACACGGCCCAAACUCCUACGGGAGGCAGCAGUAGGGAAUCUUCCACAAUGGGCGAAAGCCUGAUGGAGCAACGCCGCGUGGGUGAAGAAGGUCUUCGGAUCGUAAAACCCUGUUGUUAGAGAAGAAAGUGCGUGAGAGUAACUGUUCACGUUUCGACGGUAUCUAACCAGAAAGCCACUGCUAACUACGUG